GCAGAGUAGGAAUGCAGGCGUUAAGUGCCGGCUGUACAGGGAGUUGACAGCCGGACGAAGGAGAAAUCCGCGGUUUGUGUUCCGCAUCCCGCUGC
RNAcentral lists this non-coding RNA (95 nucleotides) under uncultured Clostridium sp. RNAcentral describes it as "THF riboswitch". It matches the Rfam family "THF (Tetrahydrofolate) riboswitch aptamer". Rfam says of the family: THF riboswitch presents a pseudoknot that joins P1-P2 and the loop of P3 and two THF binding. The record is from RNAcentral. Lineage: Bacteria; Bacillati; Bacillota; Clostridia; Eubacteriales; Clostridiaceae.